Molecule: ribosomal RNA, 253 nt
Filed under: uncultured bacterium
Lineage: Bacteria
Description: partial 16S ribosomal RNA
Rfam family: Bacterial small subunit ribosomal RNA
Source: RNAcentral
CACGUAGGGUGCAAGCGUUGUCCGGAAUUAUUGGGCGUAAAGGGCUCGUAGGCGGUCCGUCACGUCGGGAGUGAAAACUCGGGGCUCAACCCCGAGCCUGCUUCCGAUACGGGCGGACUAGAGGUAGGUAGGGGAGAACGGAAUUCCUGGUGUAGCGGUGGAAUGCGCAGAUAUCAGGAGGAACACCGGUGGCGAAGGCGGUUCUCUGGGCCUUACCUGACGCUGAGGAGCGAAAGCCAGGGGAGCAAACGGG